This is a long non-coding RNA of Betta splendens (Siamese fighting fish), 2046 nucleotides long. RefSeq lists it as uncharacterized. The record is from RefSeq and is a predicted model, not a curated record. Lineage: Eukaryota; Metazoa; Chordata; Actinopteri; Anabantiformes; Osphronemidae. The transcript is spliced from 11 exons.
UGCUUCUUUUAUUUGACUCUCUAUCCAUUGCAUGAGAUGUACAAAUUCAAGUAUGAACUGUGACAUGUGCCAGAAGAAAGGUAUAAGUACAAUUUUACUCCAGUUAAAGUAUUGCAAACAAUCAAGUUUACUUUAGGUGCACAUUACAUUCAGAACUUAAAUACACCUAAAUAGUGUGAGAAUCUCCUGGUUGUUGAACUAGAAAAGAGUUGCAGUGAUGCAUCUUAACCUGACAAACGAUCUUUGGUUGAACGUUCCCCUGUUCCAGCGGACUGGGAUAAAACCGUUGCGUUUUAAUUGAGUUAAGCAUUAAAUGCUAAAUAACGCCAGUUAAAAAUAUCCAGCUGUCGUGUUUGAAACCGUUUAAUGGUCUUUUGUAAAUUGCUCAAAUUGGGAAGUUUUCCCCCAAUUAAAUAUAGACGUUUUGUCCCCGGGGUUUGAUCCGGGUACUUUUGUCGAGCGGGAAUUUAGGAUUUAAAAUGGAGGCGAGGGAGAUUAUAAAUUAUGCCCGCUGCUCACACGCGGCUUUGUUCGUUACUGCAAUCAAAGUUAAAUGUUCUACGCUUUGAAGCAUUUCGUGUAUUGGUCAGAACUAGUUCCCUGCGCUACAACAUGAUAACAUGGCAGCUGGUCUGUGAAUGACGAUUGUUCUUGUAACAAUGGCUUCAAAAAGCAACAGACAUAUUAGGGCUGGCCCUAAUAUUGUCCGGCGGGUGUGGACGCAGUAGCGGGUGACACCCGUCUUUUUUUAAUUUUUUGAACUUAAAGUUUUUUUUACUUAAAGUUUCCUCUCGUGCCAGCAGAUGGAGCCAAACAUCAACACAUCCGUGGCUCAGUCGCUGCCUCAUUCGCCUCCAGCUUUGCACAGUCAGCCUCCGUCUGCCUGAGUGGUUCCCAGAGCGACUCAGCAUUUGGCUGCUUUCCCUUUCCCCUCUGGUCGAACUCGUCCCGAACCACGGAUCCAUUCAGAUCAGACGCAGACGGGGCCUGUGAGCUCGCUGGGAGACCGCUGCUACCUCCGCCUCACACUCGACAGGAAGUCUCCAGUCUCCUUUUGGUCGAAGCUCAGACCAGCAGUCCUGCGUUUGUUGACCAGGGACUCCCUCACCUGGCUCUUGUUGGCGGCCACCUUAGCAAACAGCGCCUGGGACACCUUGGCUCUCUUCAUCUCCUGCUGGAUUUCAUCGUAGAUGCCUGACGUGAUGUUGACCAGCGACUCCAGCUUCAGCGGGAGCUCGGGGGCCGGGCCUGACGGCUUGGGCUGCGAGAGAGGAGCAGCAGAGUCUCCGAGGCGCUGGCAUCAGUUGGUGCUGAUAUCUGUCUUCUGCUGGGUCAGAAACUCGACCGUGACAGAUGACAGUGUUUGUGUUUCAACACGGAUCAGGAGAGGAUUCACAGUUUUAGUUUUAGAGCUGUUGGAGCCGUGUCCUCAGACCCAGAGGAGAGCCUCUUCAGCCUGAAAAUGACUUGGGGAUGUGCGGUCGGCCGGGAAGGAAACUCCCUUCACCACAGCCCUGCUAUCUCUGUGGGAGUCCAUCAUCCACAGACUGGCCACACACACAGGCAGCGCACCACGGGAAACACACGUUCAUUCACAAGUACAUGUUGUACGACGGCGUCGAGUUCUGCUGAGCAGAUGUGUGAUGAAGCUCCUGGGACAUCCCCUGCCCCACCCGGGCUCACUGGCUCCACCCACAGCGCAUCUCAACGUUUCCUCAUCAACUGCACAGGAGAAACUCAGAGGAUGAAUUGGUCCUUCGGCUGUGCCUCACCUCCCGGUGGAGCUCUGGGCAAUCACUCUGGCGUCAUCUGCUGGGUCCUCUCUUCAUUUACCAGCCUGGCAGAAAUAAAUCACAGAACAUGGGACACGUUUGAGAGAUGACGCUAAGAGAUAACGAACGAGAACAGUUAGAGAAAAGCAGUGACCUACUUCACAUUAGGACAUUCAUCGCACACUGUCUCCUGAGUCAUCUGGAAGCGCCCGGGUCCGAGCUGUGUUGUCCUCAUCUCCUGUCUGCAGUUACACUUCCUCUUGCCAGGAGCUUC